RNAcentral lists this long non-coding RNA (1783 nucleotides) under Cucumis sativus (cucumber). RNAcentral describes it as "long non-coding RNA (CSAT_LNC000173)". The record is from RNAcentral. Lineage: Eukaryota; Viridiplantae; Streptophyta; Magnoliopsida; Cucurbitales; Cucurbitaceae.
GGUUGGGCUUCGUUUUUGCCAUUUUUGCAAAUAAUAAAAUGUGUGGUAUGAACUUAAUAAUUACAAUUUAUUCGGCCAUUUUUACAAAGUAUCCCUAUUUUUUAAACAAAACUUAAGGUUUAGUGGGAUUAAAUUAAUUUAAUUAUGUAUUUUAUUAUUUAUUUAAUAAAAAAGUUAAAUAAUUUGAGUUAGUCGUGCGUCUUCUCUCCCCUCAGUUUCUCGCCGCCAUCCGCUCCCUCCUCAGUAGCCGUACGUCUCCUGUCUCCCUCCGACGGCCAUUCUAGCAGGUUGGUACGCUAAAAUUAUUUACUCUGCAAAAAGUAAACUUCAAUGUUUGAUGUAUGUGUAAAGCUUAAUAAUAUGAAUUAAACAUGAUAUUUGAAGCUCUCAAAUGAAACUUGACAAUUAUUGUCUUCUAAUAAUACAUUGGACAUUGUAAUAAUAUAGUGGACAUGCCAUGAUGCCAAAUUUUUCGAAAUCCCAACCCAAUCCUUAGUUUUUAAAUAUAUUUUUCUUUAAAAUUUUAAGGGCAUAUCGAAAUUUUGAAACAUCAAAUUUAAAGGUACUUCUUUUUUUAAAAAAAAAAUAUUAACGUUAGGAAUAUUUUAGGUAGUUUCGGCAACAAAGUUUCAUUCCAUUUGACCAUGUCCAAAUCUACAGGGAGAGGAGAAUUUGAAGGGGGGAAAAAAUGGCGGAUGCUGUAGUUGGUAGUAGUAGUUGAGUACACAAUUAAACCCAUUUUACACCAACUUGAUUACCUGUUCCACUACAAGCAAAAUACCCAUUUUACACCAACUUGAUUACCUGUUCCACUACAAGCAAAAUAUUAAGGAAGUUGAAAAGAAAGUUGAAGCUCUUGGGACUGUUAAGGACAGUGUCCAAAUUUUGGUCAGUCAGGAUAAAGGCAAAAGGGAAUGCAGUUUUUGAUGGAGUUUCUAAAUGGUUGACAAUUGUAAAGGAUGUAUUGGAGAUAGCACAACAAAAUGAAAACCCCUCAUGCUUUAAUUUUGUUGAACGAUAUCAAUUAUCCAGAAAAGCAAAAAAGAGGUGGAAAAUAUUAUUGAACUCAUAAAUGAAGGAAAUGGAUUUAACAAAGAUAAUGUUGGUUAUCCCGUACCUUCUCCCGAUACUAAUUCUCCCACUCUCCCUACCGAUUAUCAAAUUAUCGCGUCAAGAACUUCAAUAGUAGAAGAAAUAAAAGAGGCACUUGCAAACCCUAAUGUCGACACAGUUGGAGUAUGUGGUAUGGGUGGUGUUGGAAAAACUGCUUUAUUGAAUGAAGUUAAGAAGUUAGUGUUGGAAAAGAAUUUGUUUGAUCGAGUGAUUCAAGUGGAAGUUGGUGAAUCCAAAAGUGUAUUCAAUAUUCAAGAACAAAUUAAAGAUGAGUUAAAUAUGGAAUUGAAUAUAGAAUGUGAGGAGGUAAGAGCAUGUCGCCUACGAACUCAUAUUGCCGAGAGGAAAGAGAAUAUGUUGUUUAUGUUGGAUGAUAUAUGGAAGGAACACGAUGUUGAAAAAGAGUUUGGAAUUCCUUGUCAUUCAGAAUCAAGAAAAGAAGGAUGUAAGAUACUUAUGACAAGUUAAACAUGUAUUAAACAAUGAAAUGAACACAGAAAAGACAUUUGAGGUGAAUUCUCUUACCAACGAAGAGUCUAGGAACUUUUUCGUGACAAUAGUUGGUGAGUCUUCGUGUGUUGAAGAUGGACAUAAUAUACAACAAAUAGCAGAGGAUGUGGUAAAAGAAUGUGGAGGGUUACCACUUGCACUUAAAAUUCUAGGAAAAGCA